RNAcentral lists this ribosomal RNA (522 nucleotides) under uncultured Inocybe. Its description in RNAcentral is "eukaryotic LSU rRNA". The stretch from base 151 to 304 matches the Rfam family "5.8S ribosomal RNA". Lineage: Eukaryota; Fungi; Basidiomycota; Agaricomycetes; Agaricales; Cortinariaceae. The record is from RNAcentral.
CCCCAACUGUGCACAUAAUUGUAGACCUGAACAAAUCUGAAAUAUUUUCGAGUUUGGACUGCUGUGCUUUCCUUGCGUUUCCAGGUCUAUGUCAUUUUCACAACCUCUUUUGUAAAAAAAAUGAAUGUUGAAAUCACAUAUAAAUUAUACAACUUUCAGCAACGGAUCUCUUGGCUCUCGCAUCGAUGAAGAACGCAGCGAAAUGCGAUAAGUAAUGUGAAUUGCAGAAUUCAGUGAAUCAUCGAAUCUUUGAACGCAUCUUGCGCUCCUUGGUAUUCCGAGGAGCAUGCCUGUUUGAGUGUCAUUCAACUUCUCAACCACACAUGAAUUGUGUGUGGCUUUGGAUGUGGAGGAUCUUUUUUUGCAGGCUUCUUUCAAAGUCUGCUCCUCUGAAAUGCAUUAGUGGUGUUCUGAGCUGCUACAGAUGUGAUAAUUAUCUGCAUCUCCAGUUAUUUGCUGUGACGCCGCUGCUAAAGAAAAGUGUUCCCCUGGACACAUUUGAUGAAUUGACCUCAAAUCAGG